GUGAAUCAUCGAAUUUUUGAACGCAAAUUGCACUCUCCUCUGAGAGUAUGCGUGUUUGAGGGUGAGCCUAUAAAAAAUCUACAUCGUUGCUGUUUGGCGGUGGCGUUCGUCGGAAAUUGGGUCAUCUUGAAUCCUUUUGAUUUUUAAGCGACUUAAAAUUUUCUUUUUGGUUCCAUGAACGUUUCUAAGAUUUAUUUCUUUACACGUUUAAGGUAUCGAUUUUUAUUAGGCGUGACCAGCAUAUCGGAUCUCGUCUAUAAUCUUUCAUAAACUGAC
Molecule: unclassified non-coding RNA, 276 nt
Filed under: Glomus sp.
Lineage: Eukaryota; Fungi; Glomeromycota; Glomeromycetes; Glomerales; Glomeraceae
Description: partial contains 5.8S ribosomal RNA and internal transcribed spacer 2
Rfam family: 5.8S ribosomal RNA (bases 1-65)
Source: RNAcentral